AAAAAUUAUAGUCGCCGAAUUCCAACGAUGACAACAGUUGCUUAUUCUGAUGAUGAUUGUCGCCGGAUUUCUUGCCGGAUUUCGACGGUGACCACCUAUUUUCUCCCUUCCGGUGAAGACAAUAAUUACAGUCACCGUUUUUUCUUACGACGACGAUGAUAACCAACUUUGUUCUUGAUGUUGGAUCAACGUCUUUGGAUUUAUUUUACCAAAUCAGAGAUGUACCCCGCGCCCGCACCAGCGCCGCGUUGGGAUGGGUUCGUCAGCGAAGUCAAUGAGUCCGCG
This 285-nucleotide long non-coding RNA is filed under the name Capsicum annuum. Its description in RNAcentral is "long non-coding RNA (CANN_LNC004040)". The record is from RNAcentral. Lineage: Eukaryota; Viridiplantae; Streptophyta; Magnoliopsida; Solanales; Solanaceae.